ACCCACACUUGAAACUAAUUCGUCCCCACCCCAAUCCUUCUGAGAAUGAGGGAUUCGAACACUCCACCUCCCCCUUCUAUGUUGAAAGGGUGGCCAUUGGGGCACUGGUAGCUAAUCACCCCAAACCCAACGCUUCACCUGUCAUCCUGCGAUACAAAAAGGGCAGUGGCAAGAAGUCAGAGUCACCAAGGAAAAUACCGAUCGAACAGAACGUUGAAAGGGCUGAAGCAUCCUCCAGAUUCCCAAAAGUGGAAGUUCCACAUUUUGGUUCCCAAAAUGUGGGCAGAGAUGAGUCCAGUGAUGAUGAGAGCACCGUGUUAAUCAGUAUGAGAUAAGGUGCCGGUCAAAGGAUGUCUAGCCCGUAUAUCCUAGCUCAAGCACGUCGGAAGAUUCUACUCCGGAAGCCAGCCCACCUGGAUGUAUUAGGGCGAAAUCAAAGGAUGUUCAACUACAAAGCAUAUCCAGUGAAUCAACUCUGGAAGCCAGCCUGCAUAGAUAUAUCAGGGCGAAAUCAAAGGAUGUCCGACUACAAAGCACAUCCGAUGAUUCAACUCCAGAAGGUAGCCCACCUAGAGCUUGGGGACUAGCACGGAGUCACUUUCGAUAUCCUUAAUUUGAAAGUCGAGGGUUAAGAGCAUAAAACAGCUAUAGUUUAGGUAAAAUCAUAUAAGUGAAAAAUCUUAAGAAGGCAUCAAUAUGCAAGAGCUUACAAGUAGGCCCCUGUACAAAGAUACAGAGGCUGAAGAAGUUCCGGAUGUCCUGGAGCUUUUAGUUAUCUGCCCUUGUAUAGGCCUAGAUUUUUUUUCUUGCUUUUGUACAUUUGUGUUGAUUAUAGUCCUUAGGAACAACACAAAAAUGCAGGUUUGUAAUGAGCCAUGGCUCGUAAUAAACAUUGUCUAAAAUGGAAUUUCAUUCGUUUAUUCCGUCA
Eucalyptus grandis is the source of this 928-nucleotide long non-coding RNA. RefSeq lists it as uncharacterized. Lineage: Eukaryota; Viridiplantae; Streptophyta; Magnoliopsida; Myrtales; Myrtaceae. The record is from RefSeq and is a predicted model, not a curated record. The transcript has 3 exons.